Molecule: long non-coding RNA, 534 nt
Filed under: Daucus carota (carrot)
Lineage: Eukaryota; Viridiplantae; Streptophyta; Magnoliopsida; Apiales; Apiaceae
Description: long non-coding RNA (DCAR_LNC004438)
Source: RNAcentral
UCUUUAUAUAUACAUUCACCUUCUUGCUUCCUGCUUACCAACUAUAUAUAUUGCUUGGUGCUCGACAUGGUGGAAUAUUAUGAGUUUGGUGUACUAGAACAAGAGUUUCACCAUUUUUUUGCGGCCUUUUUCUUGGAUUUUCCUUGAUGUCGUCUAGGUGAAUGGCCUUUGGAGAACCUUGUCUCUGCUGAAGAAUUAACUCGGCGUACAUGGGAAAGCCAGGCAUUUUUUUUUUUUUUUGUUUUUCUUCAGUAGUAUUUUCUUUUUCUCUUCUCUCACAAUUUUUCUUAUAUAAUGUAUUCCGUUAAGUUACGGAUAGAUAAUGGAUUUUUCUUAUAUUGUAACGGAGCUGCACUACUAGAAAAAGUGGAAUAGACAUCACACUUCAGACAUCAGUUAGAAUUGCCACUGAUGUUAAAAAUGUUUUUAACAUCAUUUUCACUUAAACUGAUGUGUUAAAGUGCUUUAGACAUCAGUUAUUUAUGCAACUGAUAUGUAAGGUACAUGUUUAAAAAAAGUUUCCACCAUUCCCAC